GACAGAGGUGCCAAGCGUUAGGCGGAAUCACUGGGCUUAAAGCGUGUGUAGGUGGAUGCCUAAGUACCUUGUGAAAUCCCACGGCUUAACCGUGGAACUGCUUGGUAUACUGGGUGUCUUGAGCCAACUAGGGGCAGUCGGAACAAACGGUGGAGCGGUGAAAUGCGUAGAUAUCGUUUGGAACGCCAAUGGUGAAAACAGACUGCUGGGGUUGUGCUGACACUGAGACACGAAAGCCAGGGGAGCGAACGGG
Molecule: ribosomal RNA, 253 nt
Filed under: uncultured bacterium
Lineage: Bacteria
Description: partial 16S ribosomal RNA
Rfam family: Bacterial small subunit ribosomal RNA
Source: RNAcentral